Pristis pectinata (smalltooth sawfish) is the source of this 1275-nucleotide long non-coding RNA. RefSeq lists it as uncharacterized. Lineage: Eukaryota; Metazoa; Chordata; Chondrichthyes; Rhinopristiformes; Pristidae. The record is from RefSeq and is a predicted model, not a curated record. The transcript has 3 exons.
UGGGGCGGGACUUCCGCUCGGCUGCUGUGAGGGCGGCGGAGCGCGGCCCUGGUCGGAGGCCCGGACCUGGACCUGGACCUGGAUCUGGACCUGGACCUGGACCUGGAUUCGAGUCAGCUCCCUGAUAUUGCCUUACCCAAGGAUUUCCAGUGGUCUGUUUGCACUCCCUAAAGAGAGAGACUUGGACUUAGAAGUCAAGUAUUAGUCCAAAUAUCAGCUGAACAUUAGCACAUCUCGAACUAAAGCCUGGAUUCCUUUUAAUAGCCACUAGACAGAUACUUGGUGUGAAAUUCCGCUCCUGCUGGCAACUCCUCCUCCACGGGGUCAAUUCCACGAAAUCACCUCUUGGCAAAAAGCAAGAUGCUCUCCAUUUCUCCGCAAAAUUCCUCCGUCGCACAACAAUCCCAGGGAGUAUUUCGCAUUCGCCUGGCAAAGUCCCAAACAACGGCCUUUAGUCCCAGAUAACGGCCUGGGUAAAUCAGCAACUUCGGAAGUCCAUAACUCGAACAGAACGUUAGAUAAAUUGCAACAGUUCGUGAAGACGCCAGCAAAACGGCGUGUAAUUUUUAAUUAGGAAAGUUUCAUGUCCGUGAAGAUAUCCAGUAGCAUUUGCAACAGUUCUGAUGUUUGAGUGAACGCGAAGGGAACGGUAUAAAACAGUGUCUCUUUGUGCAGGGUUCAUUCAGUUCAAUAGAGGUUUGGUAACAUUAACAAACAAUUCCGGAGAAGUCAAAAGAGUCCGUGUUUAAAAAGCGAGGUCGAUGUCGCCGAGAAGAGUUGAUGCGACAGGAACAAGUCUGUAAAAACCUCUCCUGCAGACGGUGAAGGGGGCACGCAGUCCCCUUUGGCCGAGCUGCUCCACCAUCCCGCGCUGGCCUCGGCGCCCCCGGGCCCGGCCCGGCCCGCCGCCAUUUUAUCUCCCGGGGUAAAAGGGGGGGGGGGGGGGGGGGGGGGAAGGAACCCGGGCGCGGGUCCAAAUCCAAAACGGGCGCCGCUCUCUCUCCCUCCGCGGCCUCCCGUGCUUGAUCCUCGAAGCCGGCGGACGUCUCUCUCUUUCUUUGUACAAUUUACACGGGCUAACAAACUACAUCUUGUUUAAAAAUUUGAAUCGAUAACGGCCCCCGCCAAUAUGGCGCCGCUCCGUCACGGUUCCAAAUUUAAACCGAAAGAUUCAUUUAAAAAAAAGACCAAACCUACAAAGAUUUGUUUUUUUUUCCUCUCUCUGGGUUUAAAUGCAACACAUUUAUCAUUUUGUUUUACACCGCGGUCGCUGCU